CCACAUUCCCUUCACUCUCCCUUCUCUUCGGUUCGGUCCCAGCCACGCACCACCGAUUUCUCUCUUUCUACUCGGCACGUUCUAUCUCUCCACGGUAAGAUCGUUCAUUCUCUCUCUCCUAGCUAAGAUCAAUUUCUCUCUCUCUCAGUUGAGUUCAACAAUGGUCUGGUAUUUUAUUUUUUUUGGCCCUAAGCCGAUUGGGUUUGGGUUUUAAAUGACUACUUAUGUGUUUGUUUAUGUGUUUGUGGAGGUUUUAGAUUCAAAUUUCUGGGUGAUGGGUGUUUUGAUUGGGUGUGGGUGUGGCAUUGUAGGCUUCUUCGCUAUAGGUGGUAUGUUUGCAUUUUGCGGUUUGCACAAGAACCUAGCACCUACCUUCACAACCCUCCAAAGAAUCAUUCCUAGAGGAUUGAGGGUUGAAGCAUUGAUAAAAUUUAUUGUUGAACAGGUAGAUGCUGCUUUGGUGCUCCUUGGAAACAUGAUUUCAUAUAUGAGUUCCAGGUUGCUUGAUUCUCAAACCCCAUAUACCACAUUACAUGUUAUAUGUUCUUAUUGCGUGUACUUCUUGUGUGCAGGAUGAUGUUCAUAUUUUUAAUAAAGUAUUACUUAUUCAAAAAAAAAAAAAAAAUCAAGUUUAGCUCCCAAACAAGCAUCUAGAGAUUAUUACUACUUCUACCUCAGUCUAUGGAGUGGCUUUUCUUUGGGCCUAUUACUAUAUAUCCCCUGUUUUUAUUCAGUUUCUCUCUUGCCUAAUAUCGAAGUCUAUGCAAAGUCUUCUGCAGUGGUAUGGGUCUAGAUUUUCAAGUUUUGGUUUUAAAAAGGGGAAAGCUGGCAGAACAAUAUCAUAGAUUGUGUAAAGUAUGUGGUCUCCAUUCCAAUAUUUUGCUAAGUUGUGGUAUGACAUAUGUUUAUCAUCUUGAUGCAAGCUCUUAUAAGCUACUUUAUCAUUAGUCUAUUCCCUGUUAAUCACCUAGUGAGGGUUUGAAAUUUCCCUUGCAAUUCUUGUACCUCUGUCUUGUCUUGUUCAAUUUGAAUAUGGUAAUGCCUCUUAUUUUUGUGGGACAGGUAAAUUACAAUUUACAAAGUUUGUGACCUUAAGAUGGUUGGUGAUAAACUCUCUUUUUCUUUCCUUUUGUUUUUCUCUCCUUCGAGCAUAAGAAUUUUAAGGGUACAUUUUUGUUGUUUUAAUUCUGUCUGAUACAUGGGUUUGUGACUGAAUUUCCUAGGUUUCAUUUUUGAGAAGGAUUAUAAUUCCCAGUCUUGCAAAGUGAGGGUUUGAAAUUUCUAUUGCAUUUCUUCUCCCAUUAUCUUGCUGUCUUAUUUUAUUUUUGUUCAUUAUGUGUUGUUAACCUCAAUGGUGAAUUCACAGCUUAAUCUGGCAAUGCCUCUUAUUAGUGUGUAGGCCAGAAUUAUAAGAAAACCCUUUUUUUUUUUUUUUGGUCUUAAAUUUCACAUUUUUCUUAUAGGUCUUUUAAUAUAGCGUUCCCACUAAUGUGAUACUAUACUAUUCUAUGAAGGCAUUUGUUUCUGUGAAGUUGGGUUUUCUAGAGCGAGUUGGCUGGCUGGUAAUGAUGGGUUUAAAAAUUAAAUUUACAUUGUAGACAAAAAUUGGUGCCUGCAUUGUGUGUUUUUCCGGCUUCAUUUGUUCGGUUUUAAUUAAUCCCUGCACUACUUGGCAUUUUUGUUGUGGUUCCUUUUUUUACUGUUGUCUACUUGCACUUCUUACUACUUUUAAGAACCUAAGGUCAUCAAUAUCAUCGUUGGGCAUUCAUAUAGGAUAAAAGCAGCCAGCUUCAAAUAUAGUUGUUUUGAAUGCGAAAAAAGUAUAAGAUUUACCUUGUAAGGAAGAUUUCUUCUUAUCAUUAUUGCAACUAUUGCAAUUCUGGGUGCAUAUGAAAAAUUUUCAUUGGAUUUUUUUUCCUGGUGCCAGUCAGCUUAAGUGGUGGAAUUUGGUUUGUUGAUAAGCUUUCUUUUUCCCCCUUGUUUUCUUUAUUCUCUCCUACAAUCAAAUGAAUUAUAAGGAUAUUUUUCCACUUGUUCUAAUUCUUUCCAAUACUUAUGACAUGUAUGCAUUUCUUAGGAUUCAGUUUCCUUGAGGAUUAUAAAUUCCAGUCACUCAACAAGGGUUUGGGAAUUCCAUUGGAAUUCUUGUCCCCUUGUCCUGCUUUCUUUUUCAAUUUUUUGUCAUUCUGUUUUGGCAAGCUUAUAUCUCAUUCGUAUGUAGUAUGGCUUUUAUUGGUGUGGGCAGAUCACAUGCCGUAGUGAUUGGUAUGAGUUGGGAUUUCUGGGAAUUAAAUGGAGAAUUUGCAUCAUAAUUUGUAAUCUUAGGUUAUUGCCUUAUGAGGGACAUGUCUUGGACUGCUAUUUCCAUCUAGCACUGAUUCUCUUUCGUUUUGUUGGGGAAAUCUCAUUAAUACUUUAGUGUAGAAUAAAUGCAACAGUCACAAAUUGCCUAGUCACAAAUUUGGGCAUACUAGCUAUUAAGUGGUCUGAUGUGAUGUUUCUUGAGUUCCUAUACUUUUGUUUUUUGUUUGUUUGGGCCCCCUUUAUUCUUUCUAUUUUUUCAGGUGAUCUCUCUGUUUUUCUCUUAUUGCUUUUGAAGUAUAAGUUUUAACUUGCAGAGAGGAGAGAUGUUCUGUUGUUUUGCUACUUCUGCAAUUCCAAGUGCAUGUCUCAAUCCUAACAUAUCUGUAGGAAGCAGAUUAUUUUUUGGGCUGGGUGAAGUUCGAUUUGGCGAGAAGCUCACUUUUCUUCCUGUUUUUAUAACUCUCUCCUACAAUUUUUGAGAAUUAUGGGGAUAAUGUUUUGCUUGUUUAUUUUCUUUCUAAUACUAGGGCAUGUGAUUGUUUUUUCUUACAACAGGAGAAUUGGGUAUGAGCGAGUUAAUAAAGGAAAGCAAAGGGAAAAAGUGCAGCUAGGGCCUAGGCUUUAACUUUGGUUUCCUAGAGGAUUUGAAACUUCCAUUGCAAUUUGAGGGUGGUAAUCCUUUGAUUAAUAAAGAUCAUGAUGACUUUUCUUUACUUAAGGUUGAUUUGGUUUUGUUGUUUCUCAUUGAAACAUGCUUUUUAGUAGUGUUAAUGUAAUUUAAAGUUACCCUGAACUAUGUAGUUGCAAUUCUUUGUUUUUUAGUUGGCUCACGUGGGAAGUCAAUGCCUAUGCCACCAAGGGUGUGAGAUGUACAUCUGUCUCCUUGUCUUUGUUUCUGUUGAUGUCUUUUUGGCUGUAAGUGGAACUGGUCAUCCUAUGUUAGUAGCACCAUAUCCAAUUUGGUUUGCAACUUAUUGUGUUUUUGCAGGAAGCAGGAUUUUUUAAACAAGAAAUUUUAUUCUUUUUUGGAUAAUUUCUGGACCACAAUAUCAGUGAUCUAUGGCUCUUUGACAAAUUCCAUGAACCUGGGGAGAGUAACAUGCUGUUAGGAGUAACAUAAGAAGGAACAAGAAAGUUUUGUUUUUGGAUAAUUGCUGGACUACAUUAUCACUGAUCUAUGGGACUUAAGACAAAUUUCAUAAACCCAGGGAGAGUAAUGCCCUAUUAGAAGUAACGUAGAAAAUGGUAUGCAGAGUAACAAUCAUUUUUCCGAGAGAGUGAAUCUAUAAAUUAUUGUUUCCUUGCUGGCAUAGAAGCUUCGUAGUUUGCUCAGACCAAGCUGACUCCUUCUGGGAAUGUGCAAAAAUACUUUGAAAAAACUUUAGGUAUGUUUCUUCCUAAGAAAUUUUUUAAAGGCAUUUCUACAACAUGAGCAGGUUUAAGAUUAGAGAAUUCUAAGUCUCCAGUCGUGACGAAACAAGUAGGGAAGUUCAAUGCAUUUGCAAUAAUUCUUGAUAGAUAUGAAACCUUGUCUUGUUUCAUCUAGCUGUGGAAUGUGGAACUUCAAAGUGACUAAGUGAGUGGUGGCACUGUGGCAGUCAUCAACCAAUGUUUGAUUAAGCUGAAGUAUACAGUGCUUGAGGUUCAAAUGAAAACAAUGCCUUGCUUUAUAACAUUGACAUGGGAAGCUGAGUUUCUUUAAAAUGUCUUAAUUCUUAGAUCAAUGCCUCCACUGUUUCAUCACUGGUUUAAGAAGGUCUGCUAGAGAAACAUAACCGACUGGAAAGAUGAUUCCUAGCCCUCCAAGUACUCAGAGAUCUCAAAAGGGAAGAAACGGAGAAGAGCGUGAAACAGUUGACAUUGGAAACCAUAGAAGCUGUUCAAAAUGAAAAAGAGGAUGAAUCUGCAUCGGUGAAACAAAAGUGAAUGGAUGCUUGUGCUUAUAUGACAUUCUUCAAAAACCAACCAAAGAAGGUUAUUGCUGCAGCUCAUCAUGAGGAGCAUAAUAGGCUGGAUAAGGGAAGUUCUCCCUAGGUGGUAGCAGCAAUUAUGGGGGUGAUAAAUGCAGUUUAUGGAGUGAGUAGGAACUUAGAGAAGAAUCUUUUGGGAGAUCUUUGGUGGGAUCAGAUUCUAGCACAUAUAAAUUUACAAAGGAAACAUUAGAAGAUAAUAGGAGUGGAAUUGUCCCACCCAAGCCAGAGGCAUAGCUCUGCGGACAAAACUUUCUGGUCUGAUGAUGGAGAUAGCAUGGAAGUUUCGCAGAGUGCUAAGCCUCUGAAGCGGAGAGUUCCACGCCCAUCCGAGAUUGAUGAAGGAAGACCUACAUCGGUCCGACGCCGGCGAAGAGCCCAGGUGAGAAAUCCAUCUAUCGGAAGACAACACCAGUUCGACGCCAGCGUCUUCUCUUCCUUCCAGAAACCCAUUUAACCCUUUUCCCUCCGUCCCUCGAGCUUCGACCCAUGACACAUCUCUUCCCAUAAAUAUAUGGGAAUGUAAAUUUUUCGAUUAGCAAGAUUUUUGGUUUUAUCUGCAAAUGGAUGUCAUAUUACCCAGUACUGAAGUGCCCAUAAUUUAAUUGUUUCAGUUAACCAUUGAAAGUGUUCAGAAGGCUGGCAAUGGUUGCUCAGAAACUUUGCAAAGGAAGGCAGAUUCAUUCAUACUUUCAUUAUGGAAAAGUUUGCCAUUAUAAAAUUCGUAACAUAAGCCCCCGAGAAAAAAAGACCACACUCACACCAAGCCAAGGUUUGAUCAGAGAAACACAGAGAGAGAAAGAGAACAGGUUUUUCAAAUUCUUCAAAGUCCAAGGGGGAAAAAGAUUCAAGAAGAAAUGGGAAAUUCAGUAGCAUUUGAAGAUUACAAGUUUCUUUAUCACCUCAAUUACUGGUUUCUUAUUUGUUCUAUGGGUUAACUUGUUACAGUACUUCUCUGCAAAGCUAAAAUGGUGAAAAGUUGAGAGCUUUGAAGUUUGAUGAGUCGAUGCAUGAGAGUGAUUAGCUUCUACCUAGCGAUUGAAGAAGAGAUCAUCUUACUUUUCGAGAUGAUGUAUAUUUCCUAUGUUUGUGUCUUUGCUUCAGCCUUCUCCGAUUUUCGAAGAAAGUUGUUUGAUUUGAAUGUUGAUGACAAAUAUUUGUGGGCACAAGCUUUGACCGGUUUGCAAACUAGCAUUAAUAGCGAAAUUAGAAAUUUAUAUUCAACUGGAAGAUUUACAGUUUUGAAAGAGCUCGAAGCAGUUAAUACAAGUGUAAAGAAAUUGUAUCCCAUGAUCCAAGAUGGUGUGGACUUUCAGAGGGACUAGAUCUUCGUACAAACCAAUAUGAUGGCUUUUUUCAUGUAGUUUUAAUUGGGCGUGAUGCUUUGCUCUAUAAUGUUAGACAGAGUAGUAGUGUCUCUGACCCAAAGCUAGGUUGCAAAGUAGUAGAAAGAGUACAAUCUUAAUUAUUGGGGAUAGCUAAAAUUUGUUUAGGGCUUCAUGUAGAUUCUUUUGUAUUUGAUAUUAUUCUAUUGAUUCGUUUCUAUUUGAUAUUA
Quercus robur (English oak) is the source of this 5829-nucleotide long non-coding RNA. RefSeq lists it as uncharacterized. NCBI's taxonomy places the organism in Eukaryota, Viridiplantae, Streptophyta, Magnoliopsida, Fagales, Fagaceae. The record is from RefSeq and is a predicted model, not a curated record. The transcript has 9 exons.